RNAcentral lists this unclassified non-coding RNA (404 nucleotides) under soil metagenome. Its description in RNAcentral is "partial contains 5.8S ribosomal RNA, internal transcribed spacer 2, and large subunit ribosomal RNA". The stretch from base 3 to 122 matches the Rfam family "5.8S ribosomal RNA", at positions 37 to 154 of the family's 154-position model. The record is from RNAcentral.
GCUGAAGAACGCAGCAAAAUGCGAUACUUGGUGUGAAUUGCAGAAUCCCGUGAACCAUCGAGUUUUUGAACGCAAGUUGCGCCCGAAGCCUUUUGGCCGAGGGCACGUCUGCCUGGGCGUCACGCAUCGCGUCGCCCCCCACAAUUCUCCGUAAAGGGAACGUGUGUUUUGGGGGCGGAUAUUGGUCUCCCGUGCUCAUGGCGUGGUUGGCCGAAAUAGGAGUCCUUUCGAUGGACGCACGAACUAGUGGUGGUCGUAAAAACCCUCGUCUUUUGUUUCGUGCUGUUGCUCGCAAGGUAAACUCUUUAAAAACCCCAAUGUGUCGUCUCUUGACGACGCUUCGACCGCGACCCCAGGUCAGGCGGGACUACCCGCUGAGUUUAAGCAUAUCAAUAAGCGGAGGA